GGAAGCAUUAUUGUUGUAGUACAAUAAAGUGAAAUCUGAAUUCAAUCUAAAUCUACAUCAACAUCUGGCAAAAUUAUGUCUCCAAGGAGCCAACGAAGGAAACUCGGGAUGAAAGAAAUCUUGAACCCCAUGAACCAGCACACGCCUAUCAUUGUAGAUAUUCCAUUCUGUGAUUUUUACGUCAUUAAUAGAAGCAUAACCAUACUUGCGAACUUGACUCACCAAAAGGGUAUCGUGAUCAAUGUCCAGCGUCAGUAGCUCCGAGCCUCUCGAUAGCAAUCCCGAAUCAAAGCUGCUUUGUCAACUUUAGAUAUUGCAACCUGGUACUAUGAUCCAAUCCUUAAUGCUCACAGCUUCAUCUGAAGGAGCAAAUAUAGUGAUUGUAUUAUUGCAACAUAGUGUGAUUCUAUGACGCUUGUAGUCAUUAAGAGGUACGAUCGAGGCUAGCUGUUUCUCAAGAAUUAAGGACAAAACCUUGUAGCCGGCAUCCCAAAGGGCUUUCUUAAUCUUGACAAUAUCGACCGUCACCUUAUGUUCUGAUGGGAAGAAGACACACAUGAGAUACGCUCCUUUUGGUUCUUCUGGAAUAGGGUAGCAAGUUUCAGGAGGGAGUUUUGGCCGGCUAAGCAUAAAAUCCCAUCCAUAGGUCUGAUUCGUCUGAAGGAGGACCGAGAUCAGUAAAAAGGGCAAAAGAGAGUAAAGGAAAGGAGCAGAUGCCAUGAGAUUAAUAGUGGAAUUAGC
RNAcentral lists this unclassified non-coding RNA (741 nucleotides) under Hevea brasiliensis (rubber tree). Lineage: Eukaryota; Viridiplantae; Streptophyta; Magnoliopsida; Malpighiales; Euphorbiaceae. The record is from RNAcentral.